UACGGGAGGCAGCAGUGGGGAAUAUUGCACAAUGGGCGCAAGCCUGAUGCAGCCAUGCCGCGUGUAUGAAGAAGGCCUUCGGGUUGUAAAGUACUUUCAGUCGUGAGGAAGGUGUUAAGGUUAAUAACCUUAGCAAUUGACGUUAGCGACAGAAGAAGCACCGGCUAACUCCGUGCCAGCAGCCGCGGUAAUACGGAGGGUGCGAGCGUUAAUCGGAAUUACUGGGCGUAAAGGGCACGCAGGCGGUUAAUUAAGUUGGAUGUGAAAUCCCCGGGCUUAACCUGGGAAUGGCAUUCAAGACUGGUUAGCUAGAGUCUUGUAGAGGGGGUAGAAUUCCAUGUGUAGCGGUGAAAUGCGUAGAGAUGUGGAGGAAUACCGGUGGCGAAGGCGGCCCCUGGACAAGCUGACGCUCAUGUGCGAAAGCGUGGGGAGCAAACGAGGAUUAGAUACC
This 451-nucleotide ribosomal RNA is filed under the name uncultured bacterium. RNAcentral describes it as "bacterial SSU rRNA". It matches the Rfam family "Bacterial small subunit ribosomal RNA", at positions 340 to 786 of the family's 1533-position model. The record is from RNAcentral.